Molecule: non-coding RNA, 254 nt
Organism: Pseudonaja textilis
Lineage: Eukaryota; Metazoa; Chordata; Lepidosauria; Squamata; Elapidae
Source: RefSeq, a predicted model, not a curated record
UUGCUUCUCUGCACAUGAAGGGUGAAAAAUGCAAAGGAGAUGGAAAUCAGCUUUGAUGGAGCUUAAAACCUCAGCUUCAAAUUAAUUUUGUUGGAUUUCCAAAGACAAAAGAGCUUCAGAGAGAUGUUUACCUAUCUUUGGUUAUGCAAAACAAACAUUGUGCACUGUUCAAAAUUAUUAUACUGUCCACAUUGUCUCUGUCAAUGAACUUAAAGGAAUAAGUGAUAAACAGAGACGUGGCAUUCAUUCAUUUG